Molecule: non-coding RNA, 27 nt
Filed under: Rattus norvegicus (Norway rat)
Lineage: Eukaryota; Metazoa; Chordata; Mammalia; Rodentia; Muridae
Source: RNAcentral
UUAAAAAGGGUGAUGCACAAUUAGACU